This 435-nucleotide ribosomal RNA is filed under the name uncultured bacterium. RNAcentral's name for it is "partial 16S ribosomal RNA". It matches the Rfam family "Bacterial small subunit ribosomal RNA", at positions 28 to 507 of the family's 1533-position model. The record is from RNAcentral.
GAUGAACGCUGGCGGUAUGCUUAACACAUGCAAGUCGAACGGACUCUUCGGAGUUAGUGGCGGACGGGUGAGUAACGCGUGAGAAUCUGGCUUUGGGUUCGGGACAACCACUGGAAACGGUGGCUAAUACCGGAUGUGCCGAGAGGUAAAAGAGAAAUUGCCUGAAGAUGAGCUCGCGUCUGAUUAGCUAGUUGGUGAGGUAAAGGCUCACCAAGGCAGCGAUCAGUAGCUGGUCUGAGGGGAUGACCAGCCACACUGGGACUGAGACACGGCCCAGACUCCUACGGGGGGCAGCAGUGGGGAAUUUUCCGCGAUGGGCGAAAGCCUGACGGAGCAGUACCGCGUGAGGGAAGAAGGCUCUUGGGUUGUAAACCUCUUUUCUUAGGGAAGAACAAAAUGACGGUACCUAAGGAAUCAGCAUCGGCUAACUCCGUG